GAUCUGGCUCAGGAUGAACGCUAGCUACAGGCUUAACACAUGCAAGUCGAGGGGCAGCAUGUUGGUUGCUUGCAACCAACGAUGGCGACCGUCGCACGGGUGAGUAACGCGUAUCCAACCUUCCGCAUACUCGGGAAUAGCCUUUCGAAAGAAAGAUUAAUGCCCGAUGGUUUCCCGAAUCCGCAUGAGAGCGGGAAUAAAGAUUCAUCGGUAUGCGAUGGGGAUGCGUCCCA
This 233-nucleotide ribosomal RNA is filed under the name uncultured bacterium. RNAcentral's name for it is "partial 16S ribosomal RNA". It matches the Rfam family "Bacterial small subunit ribosomal RNA", at positions 15 to 240 of the family's 1533-position model. The record is from RNAcentral.